GAUUGUCAAAUACCUCCAUGACAAUCCGAAACUUCUAGAGGCUGUAAAGGCUGAACAGAAGGAGAUUUACAAAAUGAAUGGUGAAGGUAGUCAGCCAUUGAGUUGGAAUCAAACUAGAAACAUGCCCUUUACUUCCAAGAUUGUUUUAGAGAGCCUGAGAAUGGCAAGCAUUAUAUCCUUUACUUUUAGAGAAGCAGUGGCUGAUGUG
This 208-nucleotide unclassified non-coding RNA is filed under the name Hevea brasiliensis (rubber tree). The record is from RNAcentral. Lineage: Eukaryota; Viridiplantae; Streptophyta; Magnoliopsida; Malpighiales; Euphorbiaceae.